This 468-nucleotide ribosomal RNA is filed under the name uncultured bacterium. RNAcentral's name for it is "partial 16S ribosomal RNA". It matches the Rfam family "Bacterial small subunit ribosomal RNA", at positions 28 to 507 of the family's 1533-position model. The record is from RNAcentral.
GACGAACGCUGGCGGCGUGCUUAACACAUGCAAGUCGAACGGAAAGGCCCUGCUUUUGUGGGGUGCUCGAGUGGCGAACGGGUGAGUAACACGUGAGUAACCUGCCCUUGACUUUGGGAUAACUUCAGGAAACUGGGGCUAAUACCGGAUAGGAGCUCCUGCUGCAUGGUGGGGGUUGGAAAGUUUCGGCGGUUGGGGAUGGACUCGCGGCUUAUCAGCUUGUUGGUGGGGUAGUUGCUUACCAAGGCUUUGACGGGUAGCCGGCCUGAGAGGGGGACCGGCCACAUUGGGACUGAGAUACGGCCCAGACUCCUACGGGAGGCAGCAGUGGGGAAUAUUGCACAAUGGGCGGAAGCCUGAUGCAGCAACGCCGCGUGCGGGAUGACGGCCUUCGGGUUGUAAACCGCUUUCGCCUGUGACGAAGCGUGAGUGACGGUAAUGGGUAAAGAAGCACCGGCUAACUACGUG